RNAcentral lists this ribosomal RNA (709 nucleotides) under Brachidontes darwinianus. RNAcentral's name for it is "eukaryotic LSU rRNA". It matches the Rfam family "Eukaryotic large subunit ribosomal RNA", at positions 420 to 954 of the family's 3401-position model. The record is from RNAcentral. Lineage: Eukaryota; Metazoa; Mollusca; Bivalvia; Mytilida; Mytilidae.
CGGGUGGAUCCAUAAAGUCGGCCCGGGGAAUUCAACUUGCCGUUUGGGCUGCGGGCGUUGGGUCAGGGAUCCGUAAAGACCCGCCUGGCGUUCGGCAGUCGUCGGCGAGUGCACUUUCCUCGGGUAGAGCGCCACGACCGGUUUCGGAGCGGUCAUAAGCCGGCUGGGAAGGUGACUUCCUCCUCGGAGGAAGUGUUAUAGCCCGGCCAGGUCGGCUCGUUCCGAGACCGAGGAUUUGCCGCGUCUCACUGCCCCUGGCUCUCUGGGUGCGUUCGACUGGGGAAGCACUGCUUGCAGUUCUCUCCGACUGCGUGCCUUGAUUGGUCGGGAAGCACGAGGCGCUUCGGGUCAGUGGCGAAUCGGUCGGUCCUCCACCCGACCCGUCUUGAAACACGGACCAAGGAGUCUAACAUGUGCGCAAGUCAUGGGGUUCUGUACGAAACCUAAAGGCGCAAUGAAAGUGAAGGUCAACCUCCGGUAGGCCUAGGUAGGAUCCCCGCGAGGGGCGCACUACCGGCCCGUCUCGACCACAUCGUUGGUGGGGCGGAGCAAGAGCGUACACGUUGGGACCCGAAAGAUGGUGAACUAUGCCUGAGUAGGACGAAGCCAGAGGAAACUCUGGUGGAGGUCCGUAGCGAUUCUGACGUGCAAAUCGAUCGUCAAACUUGGGUAUAGGGGCGAAAGACUAAUCGAACCAUCUAGUAGCUGG